Molecule: transfer RNA, 71 nt
Filed under: Camelus bactrianus (Bactrian camel)
Lineage: Eukaryota; Metazoa; Chordata; Mammalia; Artiodactyla; Camelidae
Also listed under: 1 other name
Rfam family: tRNA
About the family: Transfer RNA (tRNA) molecules are approximately 80 nucleotides in length. Their secondary structure includes four short double-helical elements and three loops (D, anti-codon, and T loops). Further hydrogen bonds mediate the characteristic L-shaped molecular structure. tRNAs have two regions of fundamental functional importance: the anti-codon, which is responsible for specific mRNA codon recognition, and the 3' end, to which the tRNAs corresponding amino acid is attached (by aminoacyl-tRNA synthetases). tRNAs cope with the degeneracy of the genetic code in two manners: having more than one tRNA (with a specific anti-codon) for a particular amino acid; and 'wobble' base-pairing, i.e. permitting non-standard base-pairing at the 3rd anti-codon position.
Source: Rfam by way of RNAcentral
GCAGACAUAGCUCAGUAGUAGAGCACAUGCUUAGCAUGCAUGAAGUCCGGGUUCAAUCCCCAAUACCUCCA